This is a long non-coding RNA of Sinocyclocheilus grahami, 640 nucleotides long. RefSeq lists it as uncharacterized. NCBI's taxonomy places the organism in Eukaryota, Metazoa, Chordata, Actinopteri, Cypriniformes, Cyprinidae. The record is from RefSeq and is a predicted model, not a curated record. The transcript is spliced from 4 exons.
GCAUCACGUGCGGAUGGGAACGUGUGAGGUGGUGGCGUUACACCGAUGCUGCAAUAAGAACAAGAUCGAGGAGCGUUCGCUGACCGUCAAGUGCUCGUGUUUCCCGGGACAGGUGGCAGGAACCACCAGAGCGGCUCCGUCCUGCGUAGACGCCUCUAUAGUCCAGCAGAAGUGGUGGUGUCAGAUGGAUCCGUGUCUGGAUGGAGAGGACUGUAAAGUGCUGCCGGAUCUCAAAGGCUGGAGCUGCGCUACGGGGAAUAAGAUCAAGACCACAAAGAUCUCCUCAGACCGGGAUCAGCUCUGGUGACCGCUGGAAACCUGAUCCAGGCACACACACAGAUGCUCAUCUACGGUGUCCCUCACGAGUCUUUCAGAGCAGAGCCUCUCUCCGAGAAAUCCCAGGAUCUACAGGCACAGCGCUGGUUUGAGACGCUCAUUAGACCUUCUCGUUAUCAACCACGAUUGAGCUGAUGGAUCCAGCAAAACAUGCGCUUCAUCAGGUGCACAGAGGGAUGAUGGGGAAACUGAUGAACAUUCUAAUAAGAUUGCUCAUGUAUCGUUAUACUGAAUGCAGUCAUAUCAAAGAAGACUUGAUCUGUGUAAAUGAUGCAUACGCUCAUAAUAAACCAUGAUUGUCUUA